UAUCAGUAUCCUGAGUAGGGCGGGACACGUGAAAUCCCGUUUGAAUCCGCGAGGACCAUCUCGCAAGGCUAAAUACUAACCAGUGACCGAUAGUGAACCAGUACCGUGAGGGAAAGGUGAAAAGAACCCCGGGAGGGGAGUGAAAGAGAACCUGAAACCGUGUGCCUACAAGUAGUCAGAGCCCGUUAACGGGUAAUGGCGUGCCUUUUGUAGAAUGA
This 218-nucleotide ribosomal RNA is filed under the name Lactobacillus delbrueckii subsp. bulgaricus. Its description in RNAcentral is "partial 23S ribosomal RNA". It matches the Rfam family "Bacterial large subunit ribosomal RNA", at positions 398 to 618 of the family's 2925-position model. The record is from RNAcentral. Lineage: Bacteria; Bacillati; Bacillota; Bacilli; Lactobacillales; Lactobacillaceae.